RNAcentral lists this ribosomal RNA (305 nucleotides) under uncultured bacterium. RNAcentral describes it as "bacterial SSU rRNA". It matches the Rfam family "Bacterial small subunit ribosomal RNA", at positions 338 to 658 of the family's 1533-position model. The record is from RNAcentral.
CCUACGGGGGGCAGCAGUGGGGAAUAUUGGGCAAUGGGCGCAAGCCUGACCCAGCAACGCCGCGUGAAGGAAGAAGGCUUUCGGGUUGUAAACUUCUUUUAAGAGGGAAGAGCAGAAGACGGUACCUCUUGAAUAAGCCACGGCUAACUACGUGCCAGCAGCCGCGGUAAUACGUAGGUGGCAAGCGUUGUCCGGAUUUACUGGGUGUAAAGGGCGUGCAGCCGGGAAGACAAGUCAGAUGUGAAAUCCCGCGGCUCAACCGCGGAACUGCAUUUGAAACUGUUUUUCUUGAGUACCGGAGAGGU